Sporosarcina psychrophila is the source of this 107-nucleotide non-coding RNA. Lineage: Bacteria; Bacillati; Bacillota; Bacilli; Caryophanales; Caryophanaceae. The record is from Rfam.
UUCUUAUCAAGAGAAGCUGAGGGAUAUGGCCCUGUGAAGCUUCAGCAACCUCUGACUUAGUCAGGAAGGUGCUACCUCCAACAAGAUUUUUUCUUGAGAGAUAAGAA